ACUGGGCGUAAGGGUGCGUAGGCGGUUGCGCAAGACAGAUGUGANNNNNNGGGCUUAACCUGGGAAUUGCAUUUGUGACUGCGUGNCUAGAGUAUGUCAGAGGGGGGUAGAAUUCCACGUGUAGCAGUGAAAUGCGUAGAUAUGUGGAGGAAUACCGAUGGCGAAGGCAGCCCCCUGGGAUAAUACUGACGCUGAUGCACGAAAGCGUGGGGAGCAAACAGGAUUAGAUACCCUGGUAGUCCACGCCCUAAACGAUGUCAACUAGCUGUUGGGGGCUUCGGCCUUUGGUAGCGCAGCUAACGCGUGAAGUUGACCGCCUGGGGAGUACGGUCGCAAGAUUAAAACUCAAAGGAAUUGACGGGGACCCGCACAAGCGGUGGAUGAUGUGGAUUAAUUCGAUGCAACGCGAAAAACCUUACCUACCCUUGACAUGUCUGGAAUCCCGAAGAGAUUUGGGAGUGCUCGCAAGAGAACCGGAACACA
This 483-nucleotide ribosomal RNA is filed under the name uncultured Alcaligenaceae bacterium. RNAcentral's name for it is "bacterial SSU rRNA". It matches the Rfam family "Bacterial small subunit ribosomal RNA", at positions 553 to 1036 of the family's 1533-position model. Lineage: Bacteria; Pseudomonadati; Pseudomonadota; Betaproteobacteria; Burkholderiales; Alcaligenaceae. The record is from RNAcentral.